GCUGUGCUUAGUUCGUCACAUUGAUGCCAAUUUCUUGAAGUUGCUCAAUGACCUUCGCAAGUAACAAAUCCUUAAUCUUUAUAAAUACUGAAAGAUUUAAAGCAGCUACCACAGACACCGAUUACAGACACUCACUUUAAUGAAAGGUCAACUUAAAAUGAACUAGAAAUCCAUGUGGUGCUUGCAAUGCUUCUUGUUUAUCCAAUUCUCAAUUGAUGUAGGAGAACUAAGUUAACUGAACUGAAAGGUGGAAGGAAGCAAGACAGAGAAAUAUUUUGCUUUUGGAAUAACUGAGACUGGAAAUUAACCACAGCCAGCUUCAAGGCUCACCAGCUGAUCUCUACUCACUAAUAUUUCAAGUGGACCUCUCCCCACAGAGGACCCCAAAAGUACACCCACUACCCCACUCCCAGACAAGGCAAGGAAGGAAGGAGGGGUUGCAAUGACAUCUCCGAGCCACCAGAGAGCAUAUCUUCAUCUGGGUUCAGAACAUUUUACAAAACAGGGGGAAAAGGGGGGAAAAGAUAUCCCUUCCUGCUUCAAUCAAACAAUCCUUGGAUUUCAGACUUUCCAGAAAUAUUAAAUUUCUAAACCACUGUAU
Homo sapiens (human) is the source of this 601-nucleotide long non-coding RNA. RefSeq lists it as uncharacterized. The record is from RefSeq and is a predicted model, not a curated record. NCBI's taxonomy places the organism in Eukaryota, Metazoa, Chordata, Mammalia, Primates, Hominidae. The transcript has 2 exons.